AGUCGUGUGAUAAGUACAAAGCGAACUAUUCUUUCGCCUUUUACUAAAGAAUACCGUGUGCUUGUCACUUAUAGCGGCAUACGCUAAUUUUUGGGAAGAGCUGUCCUUUGAGGGCUCUGCAUUUAUAUAAUUUAAAUUUUUUCGCAAGAGUAUUCUCUUGUUCAUGUUUAUUAAAAUUUCUUUCCUGAAGUUUUUUUUUAUGUUAAGAGUUUAAUUUAUUUUGUUAUCUAUCUAGUAAUGGUAAAUAAGAAUUUUUCAAUUUAAUUUGAUAUUGUAGUUAAAAAGGCAAAAACUGCGUAUUAAAGUAUCUUUCAUAUUGUUUUAUAAUAUCGAAUGGUGUGAAAAUUAAU
This is a non-coding RNA of Lupinus albus (white lupine), 350 nucleotides long. The record is from the annotation of a GenBank genome assembly. NCBI's taxonomy places the organism in Eukaryota, Viridiplantae, Streptophyta, Magnoliopsida, Fabales, Fabaceae.